CAGUAGCCGCGGGAAUACGAAGGGGGCUAGCGUUGCUCGGAAUUACUGGGCGUAAAGGGAGCGUAGGCGGACAUUUAAGUCAGGGGUGAAAUCCCAGAGCUCAACUCUGGAACUGCCUUUGAUACUGGGUGUCUUGAGUGUGAUAGAGGUAUGUGGAACCCCGAGUGUAGAGGUGAAAUUCGUAGAUAUUCGGAAGAACACCAGUGGCGAAGGCGACUGACUGGACAAGUAUUGACGCUGAGGUGCGAAAGCGUGGGGAGCAAACAGGAUUAGAGACCCCCGUAGUCCCUGUCUCUUAUAU
This 301-nucleotide ribosomal RNA is filed under the name uncultured bacterium. RNAcentral describes it as "partial 16S ribosomal RNA". It matches the Rfam family "Bacterial small subunit ribosomal RNA", at positions 509 to 809 of the family's 1533-position model. The record is from RNAcentral.